Molecule: ribosomal RNA, 477 nt
Filed under: uncultured bacterium
Lineage: Bacteria
Description: bacterial SSU rRNA
Rfam family: Bacterial small subunit ribosomal RNA
Source: RNAcentral
UUCGCAAUGCCCGAAAGGGUGACGAAGCGACGCCGCGUGUGGGAAGAAGGCCUUCGGGUUGUAAACCACUGUCGGGAGUUAAGAAAUGCAAGGAUAUGAAUAGUGUCUUUGCUUGACUAUGGCUCCGGAGGAAGCCACGGCUAACUCUGUGCCAGCAGCCGCGGUAAUACAGAGGCGGCAAGCGUUGUUCGGAAUUAUUGGGCGUAAAGAGCACGUAGGCGGCUAUGUAAGUCGGUUGUGAAAGCCUUCCGCUCAACGGGAGAACAGCAUCCGAUACUACAUGGCUUGAGUGCGGGAGGGGAGAGUGGAACUUCUGGUGGAGCGGUGAAAUGCGUAGAUAUCAGAAGGAACGCCGGCGGCGAAAGCGGCUCUCUGGCCCAUAACUGACGCUGAGUGUGCGAAAGCUAGGGGAGCAAACAGGAUUAGAUACCCCGGUAGUCCUAGCCGUAAACGAUGGGCACUAAGUAGAGGGGUUUU